AGGACGAACGCUGGCGGCGUGCUUAACACAUGCAAGUCGAGCGGAAAGGCCCUUCGGGGUACUCGAGCGGCGAACGGGUGAGUAACACGUGAGUAAUCUGCCCCUAGCUCUGGGAUAGCUCCGGGAAACCGGGAUUAAUACCAGAUACGACCACUUUAGACAUCUUCUGUGGUGGAAAGAACUUCGGCUAGGGAUGAACUCGCGGCCUAUCAGCUUGUUGGUGAGGUAACGGCUCACCAAGGCGACGACGGGUAGCCGGCCUGAGAGGGCGACCGGCCACGACUGGGACUGAGACACGGCCCAGACUCCUACGGGAGGCAGCAGUGGGGAAUAUUGCGCAAUGGGCGAAAGCCUGACGCAGCGACGCCGCGUGGGGGAUGAAGGCCUUCGGUUGUAAACCCUUUCAGCAGGGACGAGCGAAGUGACGGUACCUGCAGAAGAAGCGCCGGCUAACUACGUGCCAGCAGCCGC
Molecule: ribosomal RNA, 471 nt
Filed under: uncultured bacterium
Lineage: Bacteria
Description: SSU rRNA
Rfam family: Bacterial small subunit ribosomal RNA
Source: RNAcentral